Molecule: transfer RNA, 71 nt
Filed under: Cathartes burrovianus (lesser yellow-headed vulture)
Lineage: Eukaryota; Metazoa; Chordata; Aves; Accipitriformes; Cathartidae
Description: tRNA-Lys
Source: RNAcentral
CAUUAAGAAGCUAUGUAUCAGCACUAGCCUUUUAAGCUAGAGAAAGAGGACCCCUAACUCCUCCUUAAUGA